UGGAUCGGUGAGGACCACAGGUGGCUUAUGAGUCGUACCUGAUGAAUCCGUGUCUGAAACUCCGAGGUCCAC
Small nucleolar RNA from Nannospalax galili (Upper Galilee mountains blind mole rat), 72 nucleotides. RefSeq annotates it as small nucleolar RNA SNORD113/SNORD114 family. The record is from RefSeq and is a predicted model, not a curated record. The transcript has a single exon. NCBI's taxonomy places the organism in Eukaryota, Metazoa, Chordata, Mammalia, Rodentia, Spalacidae.